Long non-coding RNA from Peromyscus leucopus (white-footed mouse), 2224 nucleotides. RefSeq lists it as uncharacterized. The transcript has 2 exons. NCBI's taxonomy places the organism in Eukaryota, Metazoa, Chordata, Mammalia, Rodentia, Cricetidae. The record is from RefSeq and is a predicted model, not a curated record.
GUUUCAAGUCUAAGGCCUGGACUUAAUUCCUUCUACCUCCUCCAAACGGCUGGUGUUCCUCUUCAUAUAAGUGCAGCUCUCAUCCCUCAUCAAGGAAGCUUCUCUUUUCAGCCGUGGGACACCACUGCAGAGAGCCACAACUAGUCAAAAUAUAGAAAACAACUAAUUGUGGGGUGUCCAGCCCAACUGACACAUGUAAAUACAAUUCCCAAAUCUGAGGUUCAGAGAACACCAUGGAUGAAGGAGGAGAAAGACUGCAAGAGCCAGAGGCACACAACAUCUGCUGCGAGACUGUGUCUUCUAAAAUGACAGGGAAGCUGCGUCCAUGAAACCUCCACAAUAUGGCUACCUAAACAAGACGUGAAAAUGACAACACCAAGAGACAUGUUACCACGGAGGGAGAAAAUCCCAGGAUGUCCCAUCUCUAGAUGAAGAACUACAGGCAAUUAAUGACUGCUGAGAAAGAGAGACUUAGUCUUCCCCAGUGAUGAACCCCCUAAUUGGUUUUCCAACACCAAGUAAUCAGUCCUAAAAAUAUAUACACAAGCGACACUACAUGGACUCAUUGGGUUAUAGUUGUGUAUUUAUGCAUUUAUACAUAUAUGUAACAAUAAUAAUUAAGGGAAAAGAGGCCAUGAACUUAAAAGGAAAUGGGGGAAACAUGGGAAGAGAGGAAGUGGGAAAUUAUAUAAUUGUAUUUAAUCUUUUAAGUUAGAAAAAAAUGACUUAAUCUUACAUCAUAUAAGAUGGAUACAAUUAUUCAUAGGAAAAAAUACUCCCAUUGGAAAGGUAGGAAAAUAAAGACUUAGAUAACCAAUAUGUGUAACAUUGUCCAACUCUCUCCUGACACAACUUAAUCAAGCCCAGCCAGUCUUGCUAGAGGAUCAGUGUUGCUAAUCAUUGGGCAACACUGCCUCCUACAAAUGGUGGUGGUGGUGGGGGGGGAAUCCCCAUUUAAACUGUUCCCUUCUCAUAAACAAAUAUAUAAACAUGUGCACAGCCAUAUGUGUUUUGGGUAAAUAUGUACCUUCAUGCUGUAAACUUAGUACAAUUGGAAAUAGUGAACUCUUUUCUAUCUAGUUAGGACCAUGGAACUAAAAACAAUACAGUCCAUUUCAAUUGGAUUUGGAUAAAACUCCACAGCAGAAAGUGAGGAAUAAUGGUCUGUAAAUACACACCAUUACAUAGCAACUAAUGUAUAAAAGUCCAUGAAAAUAGUACAGUAAUGACUCAUAAGCAAAUACCUCUAUUCCAACAAAGAAUUCUCCUUGGUCCUACAUAAGGAGCUUGAUAUUAUUAAAGGAUUCUGUGAUCCAAUACCUUCUAAGGACCAUUUUUCUAUUCAAUUUAUUCACUCUUAAAAUGUACUCUACAGAAUAAAUAUAUAAGAAUCACCUAGAUGUGAGGAAAAAAAUGGAUUUCUGGAGUCCACCACAUAGGUGAUGAAUGAGAAUUUCCAGGGGCCUGAGAACCUGCACUGUAGGCAUUUCCUUCUAUGAAGAGCUAGUAAUUGUCAGCUUGACAGGAUCCGCAAUCACCAGAAGAGACAAGUCUCUGGACAUGCGAAUGAGGGAUCACCUACGUUAGGCCAACAGAGAAGACCCACCCUAAAUGUGGCAACCCCUUCCACGGUCUUAGGAUCCUGAACCCCACAAAAAGAAGUCUAUCGAGCAUUCACCUCUCCCUGCUUCCUGGCUGCAGAUACAAUGAUGUCAACAGCCCCAUGCUCCUUCCAGCAUGCCACCCUCAGUAUGAUGGACUGUAACCUAGAGCUAUGAGCCCAGAGAAACCCAUCCUCCCUCAAGCUGUCAAGGUUUUUAAUCACAGCAAUGAGAAAAAGUAACUAAUAUACUGGUCCUGCUUAUCCACUUCCUGUUCACGCGCACACUAAAUUACCCAUGAUAGCAAGUCCCACUAUAACCACCAAGUCCUUAAUCUAUUAGAGGCAUCACCUCCCUCUCCCUCAUUUGAAUCCUUAAGACAUUUAUUUCUAAAUCCAGUGAAAGCCGGUUUCCCUCUCACUGUUCUGUUGUGAUUUUAAGGGAAGUGAAAUAUAUCCCUGAACUCUGAGCCAUAUCCUGUUAGUCUCGGGUUAUGGUGUUUACAUAAGGUUUUAAUUCCACAUACACUGAUUUACAAUUCAGCCAGUUCACAAGUUCCAAGUUAAUGUAUGAGGGACAUCUAACAAAUGAUCGCUGGAAAAAUAAAUGACCAACUUACCCUU